GGUUCUCACAACCAAUUGAAAGAGAAUAAAACAUUCUCUUGCUUCAUAACCAAAGUGCUGCUCACACUUACAGCAACCUUUGGAAGGGGAAUCCUGGCUAUUGAUGUCCCUGGAAAGAGAGUGGUAGAAGAAAAGAAAUUGAAGACAUGGAAGAAAGAUGAAAACGCUGGCUACUAAAUACCUAUGUGUGGUUACUGAGUGUGGUAUACUUGGACACCGAGCUCCCCCACCCAUCAGAUGUCACAAAGAGUCCUCUUACUCUUGGAUAAUUUCAAAUCAAACUGACCUCCCCAGCAUGAAUGUUUCUGCAAAAGAAUGAAAGCAAAAUACUGAAGCAAAUAUCAGGCGAGAUUUUGGCUCAUGCACAGAAAGUCAAAUAUCCAUCGACCUCAGUUACCUGCAGCUCAGCGAGGAAGCCACUGAUGAUCAGCAAAAUUCCUAAGCAGCAAAAGCAGCAGCACAAAAAUUAAGAUUCCAUCAGCCACGCACUCUCUCACUUUGUCACUCUUCUUUGAACCCCAUUCAAAAAAAAAAUAAUAAGCAUUCUCAGUUCUCUUAGCCCUAAGGAACAGAUUGCAAUGUGACAAUGGAUUCUGGUGGGAAUGAUGAAGGAAAUAGAAAACUUUCAAAGGUGGACACAGGAAUUCAAAAUAUGUAUGUGAGCCAGACGUGGUAGCUCGUCUUGUAAUCCCAACAUGUUGGGAGGCCAAGUGG
Molecule: long non-coding RNA, 714 nt
Filed under: Homo sapiens (human)
Lineage: Eukaryota; Metazoa; Chordata; Mammalia; Primates; Hominidae
Description: HSALNT0319346
Source: RNAcentral